Long non-coding RNA from Mesocricetus auratus (golden hamster), 1942 nucleotides. RefSeq lists it as uncharacterized. The transcript has 2 exons. The record is from RefSeq and is a predicted model, not a curated record. NCBI's taxonomy places the organism in Eukaryota, Metazoa, Chordata, Mammalia, Rodentia, Cricetidae.
UGCUGGGUGCAAAAUCCGCCCAGGAGCAGCUCGGUCUAGUCCGGGAGGAGUCUCACCUUAGGCCUUUCUUUCUUCCACUUUAUUUAUUUAUGACUCUGGGAGACCCGUUUCGGUUUCCAAGUGGCGGCAGACUUCAAGAACAUUAUCAAGAAAAAGUUACUCUCGGGUCACGCGCACUGAAGGGAAACCGAGGCACCGGAGGGUGAAGCUGUGGCUGUGGUUUAGCUUGUAAAGGUAUUGUGUGCAUGCUCUGAGAAACCCGGAAAGAACUCGUGCCCGCGGAGAUGCGUCUUUCUUCAGAUCACCCUUCCUCUGGGGAGGUCACAGAAAGGCUUGCUUUGGAAAAGAAUCAAGAGAACGACUUCUUCAUAGCCCCGUUUUCCUUGUUACUGUCCUCCCCUCAAAUCAGUUCCCCAGCCCAGCGCUUCCAGGAUCUGGAGAUGGGACUCGUUUCCACCUCUUAGGCUGUUACCUGCCCUUUGACUUCGCAUAUGCCCGGCUGAGGGCAUACAAACUCUGCCACUUGCCUCCAGACAUGCCGCAGUGCCCUGUUAGAACCUUUGCACCAAGAGAAGCCGCGGAGGGAAAGAGCCAAACAGAAACUGAUUCCUGCACUACAUCUUUCCUGGCCCAGCUGGCACCCCGUCCUUCAGAAUUUGAGAAAAGAAUGAGGCUCGCAGCUUGGCAUGGACCAUCCACCAGGAAAUGCUGAAGGGCCCGGAAGCCAGGUGUUGGGUGGUGUAACCAAUCAUUCUUUCUCCCACAGAGAGACCUCAGACUAGACUCCCUGAAGUCUUGGGAAUGUGGCUUAUGUGGGUUUCUCAAAUGUUACAUCCACCAGGAGAUCAAAGAUGAGGCUCCCGCUAUCUUGGGCCGGGUACAACCAAUGACUGAUUUUGUGAUACAUACUGUCCCUUGCUGGCAGGUUUCAAAGGAUGCCCAAAGAUACUUUUGAAAAAAAAAAAAAAGGUCAUUGCAAGGGCUGAAGAUAUAUUCAGUCACUAGAGUGUUUGCCGCACUUGAGCCAAAUUCUGGGUUCUGUCUCCAGCACUUCAUAAACCUGGCAUAGUGACACAGGCCUGCUAGCCCAGCACUUGGAAGUGAAGACAACAGGGUCAGGAGUUCGAGGCCAACCUCCCACAGCAGCUUGGACUACAGAAGACCUUGCUUAAAAAAAGGCCAACCCAAUCCAAGCUAAAUGAACCAACCAACCAACCAAACAAGAAAAACUAGAAUAAAAUGAUAAAUUUAUAUUUUAAUUAAGUAAAAAGAAAAAUGGGAAGAGAAUUUUGCAUAUCUCAGAUAUUCAUUUUCAGAAACUGUCACAAAACAAACAUCAACAAAUGUUUUUGAGUUAUUUUGAAGUCAGGAAGGAAUUAAAGCAAUAUGCAAUUAUCCUUGAACAGACACCAUGGAAAGCACCCCUCUCCCCACAGUAAAAGACUUGCCCUAUAAGGAAAAUAUCCAAGUUGUAUUUACAUGUUAAAAAAUGUUCUUGGAUCUCAUAUCCCUUUAGACCAAGCUUUCCUUGGGAAAGAUUUUAGCAUCAGUUGAAGGGAGAGUGUUAGUUGGUUUGACCCAGUGGAUGUGUAGUUGAGAAACCACAGUAGUUCACUCAAUAGUCAGGAAUCAGCAUAGGACUGGGUGUGUCUGGUUUCUAAAACUUAUUCUCUAGUGACACUGCAUUCUUGUCCAGGUCACACUCUUCAUGCACACCACGGAGAGAAAGAGAAAGAGAAGGAUGUGUGGGGCUGAGGACAAACCCAUUCCAGAGUUUCAAACAUUUUCAUACACUUGAUGACAAGAAUUUACUUCUCAGCCGUGUGUCUGCUAUAGAAUUAGCUGGGGUCCAGAUGACCAUGUCUGAGGAGAAGCAACCUCAGAAUCAUCCUUCACUAUGUGAUAACGACCUCUUUUGGAAAAUACAGAGCUCCCAAAUUUG